UACGUAGGGGACAAGCGUUAUCCGGAAUUAUUGGGCGUAAAGAGUACGUAGGUGGCAACCUAAGCGCAGGGUUUAAGGCAAUGGCUCAACCAUUGUUCGCCCUGCGAACUGGGAUGCUUGAGUGCAGGAGAGGAAAGCGGAAUUCCUAGUGUAGCGGUGAAAUGCGUAGAUAUUAGGAGGAACACCAGUGGCGAAGGCGGCUUUCUGGACUGUAACUGACACUGAGGUACGAAAGCGUGGGGAGCAAACAGG
This 252-nucleotide ribosomal RNA is filed under the name uncultured bacterium. RNAcentral's name for it is "partial 16S ribosomal RNA". It matches the Rfam family "Bacterial small subunit ribosomal RNA", at positions 524 to 776 of the family's 1533-position model. The record is from RNAcentral.